Non-coding RNA from Triticum aestivum (bread wheat), 115 nucleotides. Lineage: Eukaryota; Viridiplantae; Streptophyta; Magnoliopsida; Poales; Poaceae. The record is from Rfam.
AUUCUACUCCCUCCGUUCCAAAUUACUCGUCGCAGAAAUUGAUGUACCUAGAACUAAAAUACAUCUAGAUACAUCGAUACCUGCGACAAGUAAUUCGGAACGGAGGGAGUAGACA